Non-coding RNA from Oryza glaberrima (African rice), 195 nucleotides. The record is from Rfam. NCBI's taxonomy places the organism in Eukaryota, Viridiplantae, Streptophyta, Magnoliopsida, Poales, Poaceae.
CUCCGUCACAAACCUGGUUUUCGUGUCCAACGUUUGAUCGUCCGUCUUAUUUAAAAAAAUUAUUAAAAAAAUUAAAAAGAUAAGUCAUGUAUAAAAUAUUAAUCAUAUUUUAUCAUCUAACAACAAUAAAAAAUACGAAUUAUAAAAAAACUUCAUAUAAGACGGACAGUCAAGGUUGGACACGGAAAUCCAGGG